Taeniopygia guttata (zebra finch) is the source of this 2311-nucleotide long non-coding RNA. The record is from Ensembl. NCBI's taxonomy places the organism in Eukaryota, Metazoa, Chordata, Aves, Passeriformes, Estrildidae.
AAAGCUGCUCUGAAAAUGGAGUUCUACGGCUUGUUCUUCCUCCAAGCCGUGCCCUUAAUUUGCCUCGGAGGUUCUGCUUGCUCACGGUGAUGCUCCCCUUGCUGCUCAGAUUUCUUUGUAUUUUCACCAGUGCUGCUUUUGGAGUCUGGAUCACAGAAAAGAUGAGCUGUGCUGCUUUGGGCCUGGAAAAGAUGUCUGCUUGGUUUUACUCUUGGCAAUGUGGUUGGGAUGUAUCUGGCUCAGAACUAUGAUAUUCCUAACAUUGCAAAGAAGCUGGAAGAUUUUAAGAAGGAUGUGGAAGCCAAGAAGAAACCUCCUAAUGACAAGUCCUGAAAGAGCAACGUUCCCCAGGUCAACUCUGUGUGUGUACCAAGGAUGCAAUUUAUCUUUCAGGCAGCAAAGGUCAAGUAGAGGGUUGGCAUGGGAGGUUCCUCCACUCUUAGUCUCCUAGAACUGGAAUAUCUUUCUUUUGAAAGGGUGGCCGUGAACUUUUCCUGGGACUGAUUUUCAGUAUUUGGAUUUGCAACUGAUGCGUGACUGAUGAUACGAUUUGUAUUUUUCAGUGUUUCUUUUCCUAAUAUUUUGUAACUUGUUUUUACCUGAUCCAACUGGAGUGCUUUUGAUCCUGUUACAAUUGUAACCUCACACUUGAUAAUACCCUAGCUCCUAGAACAGCACAAAAGAAAUUAAAUGCAUCGAGAAGUAACUUUCAGAGUUGCUUGUCAUUCAUUGUGAGCAGUGGUACUUCACUGUCCUUAAGCCAUACACACAAGCAAAGCAAAAAAAGCAGCCAUUAAAACUCCUGGUGUGUGAGAAAACAUACAUCCAUUGUAAAACUCAUGUCUUCUCUUGAAACCAUACUUCUGCAAAAAUCCUGUUGUAAAUUCUGAAAAAAAAAUUGCAAAGAUUUGAAUGGAUGUCAAUUUUAUUAAGUCAAGAAUCUAUCAAAUAAUUUUCUUCCCUUAAAAUGGAAGAGGUCUAUCAACUCUGUAACAUGGCUUAAAUGACAGAAUCCUCUUCACAGUUUUUUGCAGGACAUGAAGAACACAGAAAAGUGCCAGGAUUGUGUUCUUGCUCUUAUUGAGAAUGCCUGGUGAUGAACUACUACAGACAAGUACAGAGAAUGACCCCCAUUUGUUCAGGCUCUAGAUUAAAGCAUGCCUAGAGUAAUUCUCCAUUAAUGUUUUAAUUAGGAUGAGGAUUGUGCCUUGAAAGUGGUUUGUCCUUUUACUAUGUUUUCAUUCUCAUCAUAGGAAAACUGUAGAGCACAUGGUCUGUAUUCCUCUCAGAAAAGACUAAAUCAGAAGAUAUGCUUUGAUCUCUAAUAGGUGUUUAGUCCAUUAGAAAAGUCUAGGGGCACUCAGAAGGAAAAAAAACCCAAGCUCUGGGCACUAAUUGUCUUGCUUUGUCAGUGAAAUGCACUGUUUGAUAUAAACAUAGCGUCAGAGUACAGAACUGUCUAUGUACCCAUUGUAAUUUUCACCUGCUACCCCAAAGCCUUUAAUUUGUAUAAAACUGAGUGGACUCCAAGUGCAGAGUUCUCACUGGAUCAGUAAAGACACAUUUACAGAGUACCAUACAUCAAACACUUGCACCCUUUGCCAGAGUUUGGAGGUGACAGAGUUCUUCCACACUGCAUUCCUGAAACAGAGGAAAGUAUUCCUCAUGCAAAGAUUCUCCUUCUUAAGCAAUAUAAAUAUAUAUAAGGAAUAUUUCACCUUUAAUUUUAAAUCCUUCCUUUCAUCUCUGGCCUGAAAUGUGUAGCUGACAUAAAAGUCUUUGCUAAGGGUUAUUUGUUAAGUUUAAAAACCAACUCAAGUCAGACAAUCUUAGUAGUGAUGCAACCAAUUUUCUCUACAGGAAACACUCCAAGAAACUCUGACAGGGAGAAAUUAUUAUGCCACCUAAACCCAGCUACCAGAAACCCUGUGGUAGCAGCAUGUGUGGAAGAUAGCCAGAGGGAUAGCCAUUAUCUUCAGACUUGACUGAAAGAAUUUUCUUCCAUGCCCAAAAACAUUUCCCUAGAAUGAUAGUGCUGCACAGCUGUUUUGAUGUUUUCAUGAACAUGAUGAAUUUAAGUUUCCCCCAACUUUCUCUUCCUCCCUUCCCUUUCCUAUUCUUGAGCAUUGAAAAGCACUGUCUCUAACCCAUUCAUUUUUCUUUGCUUGCCAUGUAAAAUUAUAUUAGUGUUUUAAAUAGGAUUAUUUCUUUGCUCAAACAUACUUUAUAUUCUUCCCUUUCUUUACAUGGGGAUGAGAAGUGAAAUAAUGUUCAAAAUCUCUGUAUUUAUUGCCAAACAGGCCAGUUACUC